Rosa chinensis is the source of this 715-nucleotide long non-coding RNA. RefSeq lists it as uncharacterized. The transcript has 3 exons. NCBI's taxonomy places the organism in Eukaryota, Viridiplantae, Streptophyta, Magnoliopsida, Rosales, Rosaceae. The record is from RefSeq and is a predicted model, not a curated record.
GGCUCCCUCUCUGAAUCUACCAUAUUUGAAGCUCUCAUAUCUAUUGAAGGGCAACUAUUCAAGAUCAAUAGUUACACAGAUGGGUAUGCCUUCGCCUCUUAACACAGACUUGCCAUGAAUGAGAAGAAGACAAGAAGCGUGAGAGGUCAAGGAGUUGUUGAUUCAAGCUUUUCUCUAGCUGCACCACCAAUUGCUCUGUUAUUCUGGGUUUCAAUUGGGUUUGUGCUACCAUAUUUUAGUUCCAUGAUUCAAGUUGGGUCUCAACUUUCACAAGGUCAGUUCGUAUUCUCACUCUCUAAUUUGGUGCCUGCAUUUUUGGAUUUCUGAUUUUGGUGUGGUUUGGGUGAUUUGGUAUUUUGGUGGGUUAAUUCUCAGUUACUAAUGAUAAUUGGGCUAUGGUAUUCUUCUUCAUGAAUGACAGAGAUUGUGCAAAGGGAAAUGCAGGACAAUUUUCCUUAGAUAUGGUAAGUCCAAUGCUUAUUCUCAUAUUGACUAUUUUGUUAUCUUUCUUUAGCAUCAUAUCGUGUCCUUUUUAACAUGUCAGGAGGUCUCUUUUCUCCUUUUCAAUACCUAAGCAGUGGAAACUCUGUUGCCUACCUUCAAAUCUGCUAAAUAUGCAUAGUGUAUGAAGUGAAUUAUAUUUGAACCCUGAACCUCCUUAUUUAUCAAAUUUACAGAUACAGUAUUUGUUAAGAGUCUAUGAGACAAGGAUGGA